Non-coding RNA from Rhypophila decipiens, 114 nucleotides. The record is from the annotation of a GenBank genome assembly. Lineage: Eukaryota; Fungi; Ascomycota; Sordariomycetes; Sordariales; Naviculisporaceae.
GGGCUGUUGGUCUAGAGGCAUGAUUCUCGCUUUGGGUUCUUACUCCUUCUACUAGGAAGUAGAGAGGGAAGGCAAUCCUGCGAGAGGUCCCCGGUUCGAUCCCGGGACAGCCCC